UCUACGGGAGGCAGCAGUGAGGAAUAUUGGUCAAUGGGCGGGAGCCUGAACCAGCCAAGUCGCGUGAUGGAAGACGGUCCUAUGGAUUGUAAACCUCUUUAGGCGGGGAGCAAUGCCGGGCACGUGUGCCCGGAGGGAGAGUACCCGCAGAAUAAGCAUCGGCUAACUCCGUGCCAGCAGCCGCGGUAAUACGGAGGAUGCGAGCGUUAUCCGGAUUUAUUGGGUUUAAAGGGUGCGUAGGCGGAUUUUUAAGUCAGCGGUAAAAUGUCGGGGCUCAACCCCGGCUGGUCGUUGAAACUGGUUUUCUAGAGUUGGAGAGAAGUAUGCGGAAUUCGUGGUGUAGCGGUGAAAUGCAUAGAUAUCACGAAGAACUCCGAUUGCGAAGGCAGCAUACCGGCUCCAUACUGACGCUGAGGCACGAAAGCGUGGGGAUCGAACAGGAUUAGAUACCCGGGUAGUC
Molecule: ribosomal RNA, 460 nt
Filed under: uncultured bacterium
Lineage: Bacteria
Description: partial 16S ribosomal RNA
Rfam family: Bacterial small subunit ribosomal RNA
Source: RNAcentral